This 507-nucleotide ribosomal RNA is filed under the name uncultured bacterium. RNAcentral describes it as "bacterial SSU rRNA". It matches the Rfam family "Bacterial small subunit ribosomal RNA", at positions 29 to 526 of the family's 1533-position model. The record is from RNAcentral.
AGUGAACGCUGGCGGCGUGGAUUAGGCAUGCAAGUCGAGCGAACCCGCAAGGGUUAGCGGCAAAAGGGUGAGUAACACGUAAGUAAUUUUCCUUCAAAACGGGGAUAGCAUCGUGAAGACGGUGGUAAUACCCGAUAAUAUAAGUGAUCCGCAUGGAUUGCCUAUUAAAGACGGGGACCGCAAGGCCUGUCGUUUGGAGAUGAGCUUGCGUACCAUCAGCUAGUUGGUAGGGUAACGGCCUACCAAGGCUUAGACGGUUAGCUGGUCUGAGAGGACGACCAGCCACAUUGGGACUGAGACACUGCCCAGACUCCUACGGGAGGCUGCAGUCGAGAAUAUUUAGCAAUGGACGAAAGUCUGACUAUGCGACGCCGCGUGCAGGAUGAAGGUCUUCGGAUUGUAAACUGCUUUUGUUAGGGGAGAAACCUGUACCAUUAAUAGUGGUACAGCUGACGGUACCUGACGAAUAAGCCACGGCAAACUCCGUGCCAGCAGCCGCGGUAAAGU